AGCCCCUUUCUUCCCCCACCCAUAUUCCCCACAGCAACCCUAACCCAAACCCUAGCCGUCUCUCUCUCUCUCUCCUCCGAGCAAGAUGUCGCACUUCGGAAGGUCCGGCCCUCCAGACAUCAAAGACACCUACUCUCUCCUCGUCCUCAACAUCACCUUCCGAACCAGCGCAGACGAUUUGUUCCCCCUCUUCGAAAAGUACGGGAAGGUCGUCGACGUUUUCAUCCCCAGAGACAGGAGGACUGGUGAUUCACGAGGUUUUGCUUUUGUUCGCUACAAGUAUGCUGAUGAAGCCCAGAAGGCGGUUGAGAAGCUCGAUGGACGAGUGGUUGAUGGCAGAGAGAUAAUGGUUCAAUUUGCUAAGUAUGGACCCAGUGCUGAAAAAAUCCAUAAAGGGAGGAUAGUGGAAUCAGCAUCGAGGUCAAAAGAAAGGUCAAGAAGCCGCAGUCCUCGGCCUAGGUAUAGGGAUGAAUAUAGGGGUAGGGAUUCCAGGAGGAGAAGUCGUAGCAGAAGUAGGGGAAGAUAUGAUCGUGACCAGCCUCGAGGAAGGGAAAGAGAUUAUCGUCGUAGAAGCAGGAGCCUCAGUGGAAGUCCUGAUUAUCACAAGGAACGUGGAAGAGGCAAAUAUGAUGAUGAAAGGCGUGGUCGAAGUCGGUCUUAUGGAAGUGCGUCCCCUGCUCGUCGUAGUCCUAGUCCUCGGAGGAGCCCCUCUCCACGCAGGACCCCACCAUCUAGGGGUGGCAGUCCAGACGGACGCAAUGGCAAAGCAAGCUCUCCUACUCCAAAGAGUGUCUCACCACGUGGUGGUAGACGUGCUGGUUCUCGUAGCCCAUCUCCUCAUUCUGAUGCUGAUGAAUGAAGGGGCGGUAUACCAUGUGAUGCUUCUCUUACCCGUAUGCCAUAUCAUACUCAGCUGUGGUCUGUGGCUAUUCCUGAGAGGACAUUUCAAUCGAGUGUCAAUGUUGCUACCAGUUUAUUGAUUGCUAGAAUUGUAUGUUCGUGAAAGAUUUUUAAGGGGUAGAGUGAAUGUAGCUGAAUGGCUGAUGCUGUAGCAGCCGUUGAUAUGCUGUUUUUUACUUUGCGGUUGGUCGAUGUGAUUUCUUGCCGGUUGGUCGAUGUCAUUUCUUGCUGGUUGGACAUUACGAUGUUUUACAGAUUUCUCUGAUGAUUUCAUCUUUGGAGUCUUAGUAGCUGUGAUGACCUAAAAGAUGGUUGGAGCUGUCCUCGUGCCUUAACGUGUGGCUGAUGCUGUUAAGCUGCUGAACCACCCACCGUAGACCCAAUUAUAGUGAGAACCUGUUAUGCUGGGCUGGACAUUGGUGAAUGAGCACAUGAGAUCGUGGCUGUAGAUAUGAUGUGAGCCGAUACGUCAUAAAUCGCUUUUUGCUGAACUUAUUGCUGACAGCAAUUGAAUUGGGUGUUCCCUUUUUUGGUGUUGAUGAGUGAUGCUUGGUUUGGUAGCUGUUUCCUGUUUUGCACCUGGCUCUGGUAGCUGUACUUCACUUCCUUGCCUUCCAGCACAUCUUGAAGAUGCUGAAUCAGAGGUUUUGGUAUGAUCGUACUGCAAAGUGUUUUUAAAUUCAUGGCAGUAUUUUGUCCCACCUGUAGGCACGUCGUUUGCCUGUGUCUUGCAUCUUAUGAUUAGUUCUUGUUAAUUUAGGCAUUUCUUGUACUUCAUUGUUCGGAUGUUUUAUAUUUCUUACCUAUUUCCUCUCAUGACAUUUAUGGUAAAUCAUCCCAUAAUUUGGUAA
Rhododendron vialii is the source of this 1751-nucleotide RNA transcript. It is a transcript of the gene named serine/arginine-rich splicing factor SC35-like, with no coding region annotated. The transcript has 11 exons. Lineage: Eukaryota; Viridiplantae; Streptophyta; Magnoliopsida; Ericales; Ericaceae. The record is from RefSeq and is a predicted model, not a curated record.